Molecule: ribosomal RNA, 400 nt
Filed under: phytoplankton environmental sample
Lineage: Eukaryota
Description: partial small subunit ribosomal RNA
Rfam family: Eukaryotic small subunit ribosomal RNA
Source: RNAcentral
AGCUCCAAUAGCGUAUAUUAAAGUUGUUGCAGUUAAAAAGCUCGUAGUUGGAUUUCUGGUGGGAGGGAUCGGUCCUGCAUUCUUUGUAGGAACUUGUAUCCUCUCCGGCCAUCCUUGGGUGGAUCUUGUCUGGCAUUAAGUUGUCAGGCAGGGGAUGCCCAUCGUUUACUGUGAAAAAAUUAGAGUGUUCAAAGCAGGCUUAUGCCAUUGAAUAUAUUAGCAUGGAAUAAUAAGAUAGGGCCCUGGUACUAUUUUGUUGGUUUGCGUACCGAGGUAAUGAUUAAUAGGGACAGUUGGGGGUAUUUGUAUUCAGUAUUCAGUGGUGAAAUACUUAGACCUACGGAAGACAAACUACUGCGAAAGCAUUUACCAAGGAUGUUUUCAUUAAUCAAGAACGAAA